Molecule: RNase P RNA, 357 nt
Filed under: Muribaculaceae bacterium
Lineage: Bacteria; Pseudomonadati; Bacteroidota; Bacteroidia; Bacteroidales; Muribaculaceae
Description: partial RNase P RNA component class A
Rfam family: Bacterial RNase P class A
About the family: Ribonuclease P (RNase P) is a ubiquitous endoribonuclease, found in archaea, bacteria and eukarya as well as chloroplasts and mitochondria. Its best characterised activity is the generation of mature 5'-ends of tRNAs by cleaving the 5'-leader elements of precursor-tRNAs.
Source: RNAcentral
GCUGCCGGACGGCUCGUCGCUCGCCUGCCUUGAUGGCGGCGAGAGGAAAGUCCGGGCAACGCAGAGCGCCAUACUUUCUAACGGAAAGCUGUCGGAACUCAACAUAACGGCAGAGUAACGUGACAGAAAAUAACCGCCCGACGCGAUCUCUUCUCUUCCGGGAAGAGAUUCGCGCGGGUAAGGGUGAAAAGGCGGGGUAAAAGCCCACCGGCGCCGAUGGCGACAUUGGCGGCCGCACGUCUUAUGGGUUGCAAGGUCAAGUAUACCGGCAAUUAAGGGUUGCUCGCCCGUUGCCGGGGGGUAGACUGCUAAAGCGCGCGUGGCAACACGCCGCUCAGAUAAAUGACGGGCCGGCAC